Small nucleolar RNA from Magnolia sinica, 107 nucleotides. NCBI's taxonomy places the organism in Eukaryota, Viridiplantae, Streptophyta, Magnoliopsida, Magnoliales, Magnoliaceae. The record is from RefSeq and is a predicted model, not a curated record.
UAGCCAUGAUGUGGACAGGUAUUCGUGAAAUCUUUGAACCUUUCUCAGCAUUGAAAGAAUGUCUCUUCCUCUUUUUGGGCAAAGUUCGUGAUUGUCUUCCUGAAAGU